ACGCCCCCACUUUAAGCCAGUUUAAUACUUCCGUUUUGAAAAAGUACUAACGUGCUUAUGUAUAUUUUUAAUGAAAUGGUAAAAUUAGUAUACGUUAAUGAAAUAGCAAUAACCAAAUAACGCUUGAUAUGGACACGUUUUGGGGAUUGGACACGUUUGGGGGCUAGUUGAGAAAUGGACACGUUUGGGCGUUUAUACAAAUGACACGUUUUGGCGCAGUUUUCAACUAGACAUGUUUGGGGGAAUCGGACACGUUUGGGGGGAAGGACACGUUUCUGAGUGUUACAUAUAUAUAGGUAGAUCCUGAUGAUCUAAAUAAAAGCUUUUGUGUGCUGUCCUAGGUUGUUUUACAUGUUUGUUUUUAUUCUGUGGUUAGCAUGUCAAAAUGUACUAUUGUAUUAUUUGUGUACUUCUCUGUCCUGAAUGUUCUUGAAUUUAUUUGUACUGUAUUCCUG
RNAcentral lists this long non-coding RNA (455 nucleotides) under Mytilus galloprovincialis (Mediterranean mussel). The record is from RNAcentral. Lineage: Eukaryota; Metazoa; Mollusca; Bivalvia; Mytilida; Mytilidae.